This 486-nucleotide ribosomal RNA is filed under the name uncultured bacterium. RNAcentral's name for it is "partial 16S ribosomal RNA". It matches the Rfam family "Bacterial small subunit ribosomal RNA", at positions 30 to 507 of the family's 1533-position model. The record is from RNAcentral.
AUUGAACGCUGGCGGCAUGCCUUACACAUGCAAGUCGAACGGCAGCACGGGUGCUUGCACCUGGUGGCGAGUGGCGAACGGGUGAGUAAUACAUCGGAACAUGUCCUGUAGUGGGGGAUAGCCCGGCGAAAGCCGGAUUAAUACCGCAUACGAUCUACGGAUGACAGCGGGGGACCUUCGGGCCUCGCGCUAUAGGGUUGGCCGAUGGCUGAUUAGCUCGUUGGUGGGGUAAAGGCCUACCAAGGCGACGAUCAGUAGCUGGUCUGAGAGGACGACCAGCCACACUGGGACUGAGACACGGCCCAGACUCCUACGGGAGGCAGCAGUGGGGAAUUUUGGACAAUGGGCGAAAGCCUGAUCCAGCAAUGCCGCGUGUGUGAAGAAGGCCUUCGGGUUGUAAAGCACUUUUGUCCGGAAAGAAAUCCUUGGCCCUAAUACGGUCGGGGGAUGACGGUACCGGAAGAAUAAGCACCGGCUAACUACGUG